This 391-nucleotide ribosomal RNA is filed under the name uncultured bacterium. Its description in RNAcentral is "bacterial SSU rRNA". It matches the Rfam family "Bacterial small subunit ribosomal RNA", at positions 28 to 420 of the family's 1533-position model. The record is from RNAcentral.
GACGAACGCUGGCGGCGUGCUUAACACAUGCAAGUCGAGCGGUAAGGCCCUUUCGGGGGUACACGAGCGGCGAACGGGUGAGUAACACGUGGGUGACCUGCCCUCAGCUCUGGGAUAAGCCUGGGGAACCGGGUCUAAUACCGGAUAUGACUCCAUGACGCAUGUUGUGGGGUGGAAAGCCUUGUGCGGCUGAGGAUGGGCCCGCGGCCUAUCAGCUUGUUGGUGGGGUGAUGGCCUACCAAGGCGACGACGGGUAGCCGGCCUGAGAGGGCGACCGGCCACACUGGGACUGAGACACGGCCCAGACUCCUACGGGAGGCAGCAGUGGGGAAUCUUGCGCAAUGGGUGAAAGCCUGACGCAGCGACGCCGCGUGAGGGAUGACGGCCUCGG